UCCUACGGGAGGCAGCAGUGGGGAAUCUUGGACAAUGGGGGCAACCCUGAUCCAGCCAUGCCGCGUGUGUGAAGAAGGCCUUCGGGUUGUAAAGCACUUUCAGCAGGGAGGAAGGCUUACCCCUAAUACGGGUGAGUACUUGACGUUACCUGCAGAAGAAGCACCGGCUAAUUUCGUGCCAGCAGCCGCGGUAAUACGAAAGGUGCAAGCGUUAAUCGGAAUUACUGGGCGUAAAGCGCGCGUAGGCGGUGUGUUAAGUCGGAUGUGAAAGCCCAGGGCUCAACCUUGGAAUUGCAUCCGAUACUGGCACGCUAGAGUGCAGUAGAGGGAGGUGGAAUUUCCGGUGUAGCGGUGAAAUGCGUAGAGAUCGGAAGGAACACCAGUGGCGAAGGCGGCCUCCUGGACUGACACUGACGCUGAGGUGCGACAGCGUGGGGAGCAAACAGGAUUAGAUACCCUGGUAGUCCACGCUGUAAACGAUGUCUACUAGCCGUCGGGGUCCUUAGUGACUUUGGUGGCGCAGCUAACGCGAUAAGUAGACCGCCUGGGGAGUACGGCCGCAAGGUUAAAACUCAAAUGAAUUGACGG
RNAcentral lists this ribosomal RNA (588 nucleotides) under uncultured bacterium. RNAcentral's name for it is "bacterial SSU rRNA". It matches the Rfam family "Bacterial small subunit ribosomal RNA", at positions 337 to 916 of the family's 1533-position model. The record is from RNAcentral.